RNAcentral lists this ribosomal RNA (604 nucleotides) under Mycophaga testacea. RNAcentral describes it as "partial 18S ribosomal RNA". It matches the Rfam family "Eukaryotic small subunit ribosomal RNA", at positions 438 to 973 of the family's 1831-position model. Lineage: Eukaryota; Metazoa; Arthropoda; Insecta; Diptera; Anthomyiidae. The record is from RNAcentral.
AAAUUACCCACUCCCAGCUNNGGGAGGUAGUGACGAAAAAUNNCAAUNCAGGACUCAUAUUAGAGGCCCUGUNAUUGGAAUGAGUACACUUUAAAUCCNUUAACAAGGACCUAUUGGAGGGCAAGUCUGGUGCCAGCAGCCGCGGUAACUCCAGCUCCAAUAGCGUAUAUUAAAGUUGUUGCGGUUAAAACGUUCGUAGUUGAACUUGUGCUUCAUACGGGUAGUACAACUAUAAUUGUAGUUUGUACUAUACCUUAUGUAUGUAAGCGUAUNACCGGUGGAGUUCUUAUAUGUAUUAGAUACUUGUAUUUAUGCAUAUUCCUCCUAUUUAAACCUGCUUCAGUGCUCUUCAUCNAGUGUUGUUGUGGGCCGGUACAAUUACUUUGAACAAAUUAGAGUGCUUAAAGCAGGCUCCAAAUGCCNGAAUAUUUUGUGCAUGGAAUAAUGAAAUAAGACCUCUGUUCUACUUUCAUUGGUUUUUAGAUCAAGAGGUAAUGAUUAAUAGAAGCAGUUUGGGGGCAUUAGUAUUACGACNCGANAGGUGAAAUUCUUGGACCGUCGUAAGACUAACUUAAGCGAANGCAUUUGCCAAAGAUGUUUUCAU